This 1090-nucleotide ribosomal RNA is filed under the name Photobacterium damselae. RNAcentral describes it as "bacterial SSU rRNA". It matches the Rfam family "Bacterial small subunit ribosomal RNA", at positions 38 to 1110 of the family's 1533-position model. The record is from RNAcentral. Lineage: Bacteria; Pseudomonadati; Pseudomonadota; Gammaproteobacteria; Vibrionales; Vibrionaceae.
AGUGCGGGGUCUACCGUGCGGUCGAGCGGCAGCGACUUAACUGAACCUUCGGGGAACGUUGAGGGCGGCGAGCGGCGGACGGGUGAGUAAUGCCUGGGAAUAUGCCCUGAUGUGGGGGAUAACUAUUGGAAACGAUAGCUAAUACCGCAUAAUCUCUUCGGAGCAAAGAGGGGGACCUUCGGGCCUCUCGCGUCAGGAUUAGCCCAGGUGGGAUUAGCUUGUUGGUGAGGUAAUGGCUCACCAAGGCAACGAUCCCUAGCUGGUCUGAGAGGAUGAUCAGCCACACUGGAACUGAGACACGGUCCAGACUCCUACGGGAGGCAGCAGUGGGGAAUAUUGCACAAUGGGGGAAACCCUGAUGCAGCCAUGCCGCGUGUGUGAAGAAGGCCUUCGGGUUGUAAAGCACUUUCAGUAGGGAGGAAGGUAGUGUAGUUAACACCUGCAUUAUUUGACGUUACCUACAGGAGAAGCACCGGCUAACUCCGUGCCAGCAGCCGCGGUAAUACGGAGGGUGCGAGCGUUAAUCGGAAUUACUGGGCGUAAAGCGCAUGCAGGCGGCCUGUUAAGUCAGAUGUGAAAGCCCGGGGCUUAACCUCGGAAUUGCAUUUGAAACUGGCAGGCUAGAGUCUUGUAGAGGGGGGUAGAAUUUCAGGUGUAGCGGUGAAAUGCGUAGAGAUCUGAAGGAAUACCAGUGGCGAAGGCGGCCCCCUGGACAAAGACUGACGCUCAGAUGCGAAAGCGUGGGGAGCAAACAGGAUUAGAUACCCUGGUAGUCCACGCCGUAAACGAUGUCUACUUGGAGGUUGUGGCCUUGAGCCGUGGCUUUCGGAGCUAACGCGUUAAGUAGACCGCCUGGGGAGUACGGUCGCAAGAUUAAAACUCAAAUGAAUUGACGGGGGCCCGCACAAGCGGUGGAGCAUGUGGUUUAAUUCGAUGCAACGCGAAGAACCUUACCUACUCUUGACAUCCAGAGAAGCUUGAAGAGAUUCGAGUGUGCCUUCGGGAACUCUGAGACAGGUGCUGCAUGGCUGUCGUCAGCUCGUGUUGUGAAAUGUUGGGUUAAGUCCCGCAACGAGCGCAACCCUUAUCC